RNAcentral lists this ribosomal RNA (279 nucleotides) under uncultured bacterium. RNAcentral's name for it is "partial 16S ribosomal RNA". It matches the Rfam family "Bacterial small subunit ribosomal RNA", at positions 506 to 784 of the family's 1533-position model. The record is from RNAcentral.
UGCCAGCCGCCGCGGUAAUACGUAGGGAGCAAGCGUUAUCCGGAUUUACUGGGUGUAAAGGGCGUGUAGGCGGGUCUGUAAGUUGGAAGUGAAAUCUGGGGGCUCAACCCCCAAACUGCUUUCAAAACUGCGGAUCUUGAGUGAUGGAGAGGCAGGCGGAAUUCCCAGUGUAGCGGUGAAAUGCGUAGAUAUUGGGAGGAACACCAGUGGCGAAGGCGGCCUGCUGGACAUUAACUGACGCUGAGGCGCGAAAGCGUGGGGAGCAAACAGGAUUAGAUA